UGAGCGCACGUCGCUUUUGUUAAAACCCUCUUUCUUUCAAAAUGGCGGAUCCAGAGCCAGGAUCUUCUUACCAUUACAACAUCGAUAUAAAAGAAGAAGUUAUGUCAGAUUAUUCCGAUGAUUCAACUGAAAGUAACUACGAAAAUGGUGAUAACAAUAAUUCCAUUAUUGACCGUUUGCUUGAACCAUUCGUUGCUUCUGAUUCCGAAGUUGACGAUCGCGAGACAUCUGUGCGGGAAGAGGAUACGAGCCCAACUGCGGAAAAAAAGCGGAAAUGUAUGAAAGUCGAAGAGGUCAACUGCAACUGGAAUAUAAGAAAAAUAA
Plutella xylostella (diamondback moth) is the source of this 324-nucleotide long non-coding RNA. RefSeq lists it as uncharacterized. NCBI's taxonomy places the organism in Eukaryota, Metazoa, Arthropoda, Insecta, Lepidoptera, Plutellidae. The record is from RefSeq and is a predicted model, not a curated record.